This 347-nucleotide ribosomal RNA is filed under the name uncultured eukaryote. RNAcentral describes it as "SSU rRNA". It matches the Rfam family "Eukaryotic small subunit ribosomal RNA", at positions 594 to 945 of the family's 1831-position model. The record is from RNAcentral.
AUAGCGUAUAUUAAAGUUGUUGCAGUUAAAAAGCUCGUAGUUGAACUUCGAACCUGGCUGGGUGGUCUGCCUUCACGGUAUGUACUGCCCGGCCGGGUUCUACCUCUUGGUGAGCCGGCAUGCCCUUUACUGGGUGUGUCGGGGAACCAGGACUUUUACCUUGAGAAAAUUAGAGUGUUCAAAGCAGGCCUUCGCCCGAAUACAUUAGCAUGGCAUAAUAAAAUAGGACGUGCGGUUCUAUUUUGUUGGUUUCUAGAGUCGCCGUAAUGAUUAAUAGGGAUAGUUGGGGGCAUUUAUAUUCCGUUGCUAGAGGUGAAAUUCUUGGAUUUACGGAAGACAAACUACUG